Molecule: ribosomal RNA, 522 nt
Filed under: uncultured bacterium
Lineage: Bacteria
Description: bacterial SSU rRNA
Rfam family: Bacterial small subunit ribosomal RNA
Source: RNAcentral
UACAUAGGGGGCGAGCGUUAUCCGGAAUUAUUGGGCGUAAAGCGUACGUAGGCGGACUGUUAAGUCUGGUGUGAAAUCCCGCGGCUUAACCGCGGAGGGUCACUGGAAACUGGCAGGCUUGAGUACGGCAGGGGUAAGUGGAAUUCCAAGUGGAGCGGUGAAAUGCGUAGAUAUUUGGAGGAACACCAGUGGCGAAGGCGGCUUACUGGGCCGGAACUGACGCUGAGGUACGAAAGCGUGGGGAGCAAACAGGAUUAGAUACCCUGGUAGUCCACGCCGUAAACGAUGAGCACUAAGUGUCGGAUACAUAUUCGGCGCUGCAGUUAACACAUUAAGUGCUCCGCCUGGGGAGUACGGUCGCAAGACUGAAACUCAAAGGAAUUGACGGGGACUCGCACAAGCGGUGGAGCAUGCGGUUUAAUUCGAUGCAACGCGAAGAACCUUACCAGGUCUUGACAUCCCGGCGACCGGACUAGAAAUAGUCCUUUCCUUCGGGACGACGGAGACAGGUGGUGCAUGGUU